This 461-nucleotide ribosomal RNA is filed under the name uncultured bacterium. RNAcentral describes it as "bacterial SSU rRNA". It matches the Rfam family "Bacterial small subunit ribosomal RNA", at positions 917 to 1382 of the family's 1533-position model. The record is from RNAcentral.
GAGCCCGCACAAGCAGUGGAGUAUGUGGUUUAAUUCGACGCAACGCGAAGAACCUUACCAGGAUUUGACAUCCCGAGAACCCGACGUAAUGGUUGGGGUGCCCUUCGGGGAAUUCGGAGACAGGUGGUGCAUGGUUGUCGUCAGCUCGUGUCGUGAGAUGUUGGGUUAAGUCCCGCAACGAGCGCAACCCUUACGGUUAGUUGCUACGCAAGAGCACUCUAGCCGGACUGCCGUUGACAAAACGGAGGAAGGUGGGGAUGACGUCAAAUCAUCAUGCCCCUUAAGUUCUGGGCCACACACGUACUACAAUGGCGAAAACAACGGGAAGCGAAGCCGCGAGGCGGAGCAAAUCCCAUAAAAGUCGUCCCAGUUCGGAUAGCAGGCUGCAACCCGCCUGCUUGAAGUUGGAAUUGCUAGUAAUCGCGGAUCAGCAUGCCGCGGUGAAUACGUUCCCGGGCUUU